Homo sapiens (human) is the source of this 2675-nucleotide long non-coding RNA. Lineage: Eukaryota; Metazoa; Chordata; Mammalia; Primates; Hominidae. The record is from Ensembl.
ACACCGUGAAUGUGGGAUGGAGAAUCAGUAUCCCCCGCAGCGGGCUCCUUUUGGGGCUGUGAUGUUUUAUAGCCUGGCAAGGGAAUGCCAAGACUCCCUGAGGGUCUGGCUCACUUUAUCAGGGUCCCGCUGCUUGAGAGCAGGAGCCUGGGAGGCGAGGUGUGUAGACGCCCCAGCCGGGGCCCCUCGAGGCUGCAGUCGGGCUGAGGCAUUCAUUCCUCCGCAGGGGCCCCGGGGCGGGAGCAGCGGGAGCAUGGCCAUGUCGGCUGCUUGCUUUCUCCUGCUGCCUGGCUCUCUCUGUUCCCCUCCUGACCCCCUUCUGCCUCUCCUGCGUUCCCCUUCCUCACUCCCCUCCUUCACCUUCAGAGCCAGCGGACUUCUCCAGGCUGCACGCAGGCGAGGGGCUGGCAAUUGCAGGUCAAGCAGGCUCAGCUCGGAGCAGCGGGAGGAAAGAUUUACGGUUCCUCCCUGCCCUGCUUGAUGGACAAUUAAAGCCGUGCAUGGUUGGAGGAGAGCAGUGUCGUGAAGAGUCAGGAUGGUCAGAAUAAAUCAGUCACCUCCACUUAGACGGCUGAGCUAGACUGCUUCCCCGGGCCUUCGAGGUGGGAGCCCCCUGGGGUGUGGCUUUGAAGGUUCCUGAAUGGACUGUUCAAGGGUUUGACAUACUCUGAGCUCCAUCAGAGUCAGAGCCUGAAGACCCCGGGGGUCUCCUCACAAAUGGGGCAUGUGCUGUAGGGAAUUAAGGGAAAAUUCUGGAUAAUGUGUUUAGAGGGCGUUUUGUCUCCAUGGUAUCUGGCAUUUGCAAGAGCCUCAAACCUGAAUGUUUGGAAGUCAGGAUAGUGGACCCCCACCUGCAAGCAGAGCUUGUGCACAUGUAUGUGUGCACAGGUGCGUGCAUAUCAGUGCACACAUGCACACGUGUAGAUUGUACAUGCAUGUGCCUGUGUGUAGAGUGUGCACACAGGCAUGCAUGUGCAUCCUGUAUGUGUGCAUGUGUGUGCAUGUAUGUGCACAUGCACAAGUGUGUUUCUGCAUUUGUGUACCCACAUGUACCUGUGUGCGUGCAUGAGCAUAUGUGUGUCGUACAUGUGUGAGCACAUGUGUGUGUCAUGUAUUGGUACUGGUGCUUGCCUCUUGGACAUCGCAGGCUCCACUUGUGUCUUUAAACACACACGCCCCUCUGCAAGGCUGCCGGGAGCUGGGCUUCUGAGCAUCCACCAAGCCCUGCGGCCGUCCUUCUUCAUUUGUUCUGUGUGUUAUUUCAGUACCUUGAAGACUCUGGCAAUUUCCUCAAGGAAACUUUGUCUUUGUGGAAAUGAGAUGCCAGCACUCCUCGGCCCUCCCACUGGCUAAUUGAUGAUAUGAUCCCGCGUGGGAGACUUGCCAUUCCUGGAAAUGCUCUUUAUUUCCUGGGCCCCCCCUGCCCCCUGCCCGCCAUCGUCUGAUUUCUACGAGCUGCUGCAUGUGAGGUGCAGGGCCAGGCAUUUGCUGUGACUCAGCCCAUGUGCCAGGCCUUUCAUUAACUUGGAUACUACAAUUAUGUGUGCCAAGAGACUGCGAGGGCCAUUUAGGAUUUUUCUCCCUUUAAGAAAAUAUUCCUUUUUCCCCAGCCAGGUAGCCCAGCCCUUUGCCUCUGCAGCUGUGGCCCAAGCACUCCUCAGCUCUCCCGGCACCAACCUGCAACAAACUCUUGUUGGGGGGCUGCGGCUCCGCCAUGGUUCUGUCGGAGGUGCUCAGUGGGUGGUCAAGGCAGCCUGCCCUUGGGAGCCGCAAGACGUGGCCUGCUGCGGUGGCUUCACGGUCACGGCACGAAUAGCAGCGUGCGUGCUUUUGUGCCUGUGUGAGCACAUGUACACCCCAUCGGCACACGCGAGGAUGACCUUUGGCACAGAACACCUGCUGCUGUGGCCUGCACAGAGAAGGGCUGACCCCAGGACAGCGGCUCCCAUUCGCCUCCACCAAGGCCAGCUGGACCCUUCAAGGGACCCUGAGAAUCUCCGAGUGUGGGCAGUGGGGUCGUGUCGUGCGGGGGUGGAGUUGCACGGGUCUCCUGUGCACCUACACAUGCGUGCUGGCCAGCAUAUUAGUAUGUUCGCAGGGGUAGCCUGACCCUCUUCCCCCACUUAGGAGAUGCGUGCGUGGAAACUUGCCCCCGUGGGUGUCUUGGGAUGAAUAUUUGGGAUCCUGGUGGAUCUGGAUUGCAGAGUAGCUGGGCACUGUAAGAGUUCCUGUAAAUGUUGGGUCUCCUGGGGAGGGGGAGGCAUGGAGCACUUCUCACUUCUGUGGGUGGGUGGAAGGUUGGGGAGGGGCCACACUGGCUCAAGAUCACCCCACAGGGAGCAACCUAAUCUGAGGACAGACCUGCCUGGGACUCUGUGGAACUGAGAUGAGACACUUGCUUCCCCCUUCAAAGGUCAUGAGAUUCUGGGGACACGGGCUGCCUUCCAUACGGUACCCACAAAGCUCAUUAAAAGCACCAUUCAGAGGCCUCGUUAUCUCAAAAAGGAAGGCAAGAGUCCAACCCACUAAGCACCAAAUAACAACUCAACAACUCAAAAACUUAUUUUUUUAAACUUCCUGGAGUUGCCAUGGUUACUUGCACGGUCCCUGCGUCUCUGUUGCUCUACGUGGAGCUGCUUGGAGGAGGAAUUAAAGCCUCCAAGGUUCACCCCUUG